UAAUCCGGGUUGCGGACAGUGUCUGGUGGGUAGUUUGACUGGGGCGGUCUCCUCCUAAAGAGUAACGGAGGAGCACGAAGGUUGGCUAAUCCUGGUCGGACAUCAGGAGGUUAGUGCAAUGGCAUAAGCCAGCUUGACUGCGAGCGUGACGGCGCGAGCAGGUGCGAAAGCAGGUCAUAGUGAUCCGGUGGUUCUGAAUGGAAGGGCCAUCGCUCAACGGAUAAAAGGUACUCCGGGGAUAACAGGCUGAUACCGCCCAAGAGUUCAUAUCGACGGCGGUGUUUGGCACCUCGAUGUCGGCUCAUCACAUCCUGGGGCUGAAGUAGGUCCCAAGGGUAUGGCUGUUCGCCAUUUAAAGUGGUACGCGAGCUGGGUUUAGAACGUCGUGAGACAGUUCGGUCCCUAUCUGCCGUGGGCGCUGGAGAACUGAGGGGGGCUGCUCCUAGUACGAGAGGACCGGAGUGGACGCAUCACUGGUGUUCGGGUUGUCAUGCCAAUGGCACUGCCCGGUAGCUAAAUGCGGAAGAGAUAAGUGCUGAAAGCAUCUAAGCACGAAACUUGCCCCGAGAUGAGUUCUCCCUGAGACUUUAAGUCUCCUGAAGGAACGUUGAAGACGACGACGUUGAUAGGCCGGGUGUGUAAGCG
RNAcentral lists this ribosomal RNA (645 nucleotides) under Salmonella enterica subsp. enterica serovar Newport. RNAcentral describes it as "partial 23S ribosomal RNA". It matches the Rfam family "Bacterial large subunit ribosomal RNA", at positions 2236 to 2875 of the family's 2925-position model. Lineage: Bacteria; Pseudomonadati; Pseudomonadota; Gammaproteobacteria; Enterobacterales; Enterobacteriaceae. The record is from RNAcentral.